CGGGGCAUAGUGUAAUGGCAGCACGAGUCCUUUGGGAGGAUUUAGUCAGAGUUCGAAUCUCUGUGCCCCGACAA
RNAcentral lists this transfer RNA (74 nucleotides) under Candidatus Wolfebacteria bacterium CG1_02_39_135. Its description in RNAcentral is "tRNA-Pro". It matches the Rfam family "tRNA". From Rfam's summary of the family: Transfer RNA (tRNA) molecules are approximately 80 nucleotides in length. Their secondary structure includes four short double-helical elements and three loops (D, anti-codon, and T loops). Further hydrogen bonds mediate the characteristic L-shaped molecular structure. tRNAs have two regions of fundamental functional importance: the anti-codon, which is responsible for specific mRNA codon recognition, and the 3' end, to which the tRNAs corresponding amino acid is attached (by aminoacyl-tRNA synthetases). tRNAs cope with the degeneracy of the genetic code in two manners: having more than one tRNA (with a specific anti-codon) for a particular amino acid; and 'wobble' base-pairing, i.e. permitting non-standard base-pairing at the 3rd anti-codon position. The record is from RNAcentral. RNAcentral also lists the same sequence under 3 other names. Lineage: Bacteria; Candidatus Wolfeibacteriota.